GUCCCAUCCUGGCGCUGGAGAAGGUGCCAAGGGUUAGUCUGUUCGCCUAUUAAAGUGGCACAUGAGCUGGGUUCAGAACGUCGUGAGACAGUUGACCCGCCUUAACAUUUGGCGGGUGACACUGAGCUGUCCAUCCUUCAAAACGUUUUGAAUGUAUAAGAGGAGUCUGUUAAUUGAAGGUCCCAAAAUCAGUUUGGGAAUAAAUCUGACUAAAUGCUGGAAAACCUUGUUAAGUAGUAUCUACUAGUAUAUGAUUUGUAUACUAGUAACAAAGAUACCUAAUUCGGUGGAUACGAAGCAAGGCAAUCAGCAGGAAAGGCUAGUUAAAGAAAUCAGCGACGAUUAUUUGAGAGGUUUUGUAGAAGGCGAGGGCUGUUUCUAUAUAGGAAUAGUUAAGUCUUCUGAAACACUUACUCAUUGGCAAGUGGUCUAUUUUUUCAAAGUUUCCCAAAAUCCAUCCGGAAGGGUGGUGUUGGAGAAGCUUAAGGAAAAACUGGGCUGCGGUUAUAUUAAAAGAAAUAGUCUAACUGACAAAACCGAUAAAAGUUUGGCAUUUGUUGUGAGAGACUUGCCAAGUUUGUCCGAGAAAGUAAUUCCGUUUUUUAAGGAUAUGCUGUUUACACAAAAGAAGGACGACUUUCAAAAGUUUUCUCAAGUUGUGGUAAUAGUAUCUUUGGGGAAACAUCUAAAAAAGACCGGAAUGAAAGAAAUUCUUGACGUCGCUUAUACGAUGAAUACAGGUAAACGCAAGUAUUCAAAGGAAGAGAUACUGAAGAAUUUUGAUGACUAGAAUCCUCAACGACUAUACGUCAGAUCCCGCUUGGCGGGAAAGAUAUAGUCUGAACCCUAUAGUGAUAUAGGGAGCGAAUACUAUUCGCCGUUUUUUAACGUAACAAUAAUGUCGGUCUCUAUCCAGUAGAGUCGUGGAGUUUUUGAGGGGGUCUGACCUCAGUACGAGAGGACCAGGUUGGAGGCACCACUGGUGUGCCGGUUGUAGCGUCAGCUGCACCGCCGGGUAGCUAAGUGCCUACGGGAUAACCGCUGAAAGCAUCUAAGUGGGAAGCCCUACCCAAGAUAAGAAACUCGUCCCGCCGUAAGGCGGGUAAAGACACGGGGUAGACUACCCCGUAUAAGAGGCUGGCGGUGUAAGUUCGGUAACGGAUUUAGCCUACCAGUACUAAUAAGUCUUU
RNAcentral lists this ribosomal RNA (1190 nucleotides) under Candidatus Amesiibacteriota bacterium. RNAcentral's name for it is "partial 23S ribosomal RNA". It matches the Rfam family "Bacterial large subunit ribosomal RNA", at positions 2539 to 2913 of the family's 2925-position model. The record is from RNAcentral. Lineage: Bacteria; Candidatus Amesiibacteriota.